This 253-nucleotide ribosomal RNA is filed under the name uncultured bacterium. Its description in RNAcentral is "partial 16S ribosomal RNA". It matches the Rfam family "Bacterial small subunit ribosomal RNA", at positions 524 to 776 of the family's 1533-position model. The record is from RNAcentral.
UACGGAGGGAGCUAGCGUUGUUCGGAUAUACUGGGCGUAAAGCGCACGUAGGCGGCGUCGUAAGUCAGGGGUGAAAUCCCGGAGCUCAACUCCGGAACUGCCCUUGAAACUGCAAUGCUAGAAUCUUGGAGAGGCGAGUGGAAUUCCGAGUGUAGAGGUGAAAUUCGUAGAUAUUCGGAAGAACACCAGUGGCGAAGGCGGCUCACUGGUCCGGUACUGACGCUGAUGUGCGAAAGCGUGGGGAGCAAACAGG